This 425-nucleotide long non-coding RNA is filed under the name Homo sapiens (human). RNAcentral's name for it is "long non-coding RNA NONHSAT148259.1". Lineage: Eukaryota; Metazoa; Chordata; Mammalia; Primates; Hominidae. The record is from RNAcentral.
CUGGGCUCUAGGAUGUGUGUCUUCAGAAAAGGGCGCAGGGUGGAAGCCACAUCAGAGGCCGAGGACACCUGGCCCCUCCCCUCUCCGCCCGCAGGUGGCUGCGCAGUCCAGGGCUGGCUCCCAGGUGCCGGUUGCUGUUAAUUCUAGACUUUGAAGCCUCACGGCUGGUCUCUCCUUUUCCUCUGGCCUGGGCAGCCCACAGCUGUUGGGGUGAUCCCCUGCUUCUGGGAUCCAGAGCCACAGUCUUAGAGUGGCCUGUAAGUCCUGGCAUGGUGCCUGGCACACUGUGGGUGCCCAGCAGGUGUUUGUCCAAUGAAUGUGCGGAAGGGCUUCUGAGCUUGCUCACCGUUGCCGCUCCCUGCUCCAGCCGCACAGAGUCCCAGCACCUGUUCCCCUGCCCCUCUGCUAUCCACAGUGCCUCCCUC